Molecule: ribosomal RNA, 91 nt
Filed under: Jaculus jaculus (lesser Egyptian jerboa)
Lineage: Eukaryota; Metazoa; Chordata; Mammalia; Rodentia; Dipodidae
Source: RNAcentral
GUCUGUAGCCAUAACACCCUGAAUGCACCUGAUAGCUAAGCAGGGUCUGGCCUGGUUAGUACUUGAAUGGAAGAAAACAGGUGCUUAAAUU